RNAcentral lists this ribosomal RNA (506 nucleotides) under uncultured Bacillota bacterium. RNAcentral describes it as "bacterial SSU rRNA". It matches the Rfam family "Bacterial small subunit ribosomal RNA", at positions 8 to 479 of the family's 1533-position model. The record is from RNAcentral. Lineage: Bacteria; Bacillati; Bacillota.
AGAGUUUGAUCCUGGCUCAGGAUGAACGCUGGCGGCAUGCCUAAUACAUGCAAGUCGAACGAACAAGCCCAUGAAGUAUCUAGCUUGCUAGAGACGGAUUGGAUUUUCUUGUUAGUGGCGAACGGGUGAGUAACACGUAGAUAACCUGCCCAUAAGCGAGGGAUAACUAUUGGAAACGAUAGCUAAUACCUCAUAGGAAUAUUUAACACAUGUUAUUUAUUUUAAAGAAGCAACUGUUUCACUUAUGGAUGGAUCUGCGGUGCAUUAGCUAGUUGGUGAGAUAAAAGCUCACCAAGGCGACGAUGCAUAGCCGGACUGAGAGGUCGAUCGGCCACAUUGGGACUGAGACACGGCCCAGACACCUACGGGUGGCAGCAGUAGGGAAUUUUCGCAAUGGGGGCAACCCUGACGGAGCAAUGCCGCGUGGAGGAUGAAGGUUUUCGAAUCGUAAACUCCUGUUGUAAGGGAAGAACGGCAGAAGUAGUGGAAUGGCUUCUGUGUGUACC